CCACAGGGCACUCCCCAGUGAAACGAUGAAACUGUCCUCUGCUGCAGGGCAGGAGUCUCCAGGUCACCCCCAUCCCUCCCCACCUGCCUGGACCCUGAAGAAGCCUUCUGAGUCUGUGGCUCAAUGUGCGAUGUGCAGUGCCAGGGCCUGCCCCGUAGACUGCAUGGCCGCUGCCCCACAAGGCCUGUCUCCACAGGAAUGGGAAGCGAACAGGGAGACGGGCAACAGCUCACAUGCUGGGACAACGCAAUGUUCAAUCCAUUGUCCACCCAGCAGCUCCAGACAUCUUUCCGGAACACAAAACUGACCCCAUCACCUCUCUGCUUAGCCACUGGCUUAAACUGCGAAUGGUUUCCCUGCA
This 361-nucleotide non-coding RNA is filed under the name Pongo abelii (Sumatran orangutan). Lineage: Eukaryota; Metazoa; Chordata; Mammalia; Primates; Hominidae. The record is from RNAcentral.